UGGGCUGGUCAUUAGACCUGGGUCCACCUGACGACGGGGCGAGUCCCC
The submitters of this non-coding RNA (48 nucleotides) gave its source as unclassified sequences. The record is from Rfam.